Molecule: long non-coding RNA, 508 nt
Filed under: Malus domestica (apple)
Lineage: Eukaryota; Viridiplantae; Streptophyta; Magnoliopsida; Rosales; Rosaceae
Description: long non-coding RNA (MDOM_LNC019532)
Source: RNAcentral
UGAAUGAGAUUUAGGAAGUCGUUCCAAAUCACAUUCAAGGUAAUCAUAUAAGCACACGAAUCACAUUUGAUAGUAGACAUGAAUAAACUAUCAAACCAAACAAUGUGGUCAAGAGUAUUGUAUUAGAGAAAGACCGUAUUGCAUUUGUAAUCCUAAACUGAAUAGGUUCUCCACCUCUUCUGAUUAGCUUGGGUAACCAUAAUAUGCUGCUAGGUGUCACUCUUGGUUUGUGGAAUCCCUAAACGUGUAUAAACACUAAAGGGAGAAUUGAAAGUAAGUUUCAAUUCACAAUCGAUUUGAAAGAGUUUUAAUCGCCCAUUGCCUCGCUAAAAAGGAACCUAAUGGAUCAUACACCGUGUAAGGUAGAGAUUGAAGAAACAACAGAGAUGAGUAAGAAUAAUUAAAUGGUUUAAUUAUUUAUGGCAAGGAUUAAUUAAUAUGUUAAUUAAUCAAACGAAUAAGUUCGUUAAAGACCUCGGGAUAGUUUUGGACCUUAGGGCCCAAUGGG